This 218-nucleotide long non-coding RNA is filed under the name Setaria italica (foxtail millet). RNAcentral describes it as "long non-coding RNA (SITA_LNC004602)". The record is from RNAcentral. Lineage: Eukaryota; Viridiplantae; Streptophyta; Magnoliopsida; Poales; Poaceae.
CGUUCGGGGGGCACGUAUGGGAUUAAGUAGCACGUACGCAAGAUAGGCCACACGUGCGACGGUACGUGCGCGUGCAGAUGUAGGUCAAACCUGCGAUGCGUACACUACCGUGAAGGAAUGGACUGUCAGUGUGGGAUGUGUCGCGACGAUGUUGAGCAGCUCACAUGGUUGGAGCAUCUCCCUGAUUUUCGGCUCACCGGCACCUCUAGAAAUUUGUU